This 514-nucleotide ribosomal RNA is filed under the name uncultured bacterium. Its description in RNAcentral is "partial 16S ribosomal RNA". It matches the Rfam family "Bacterial small subunit ribosomal RNA", at positions 28 to 523 of the family's 1533-position model. The record is from RNAcentral.
GACGAACGCUGGCGGCGUGCCUAAUACAUGCAAGUCGAGCGAACAGAUGUGAAGCUUGCUUCUCUGAUGUUAGCGGCGGACGGGUGAGUAACACGUGGGUAACCUACCUAUAAGACUGGGAUAACUCCGGGAAACCGGGGCUAAUACCGGAUAAUAUUUUGAACCGCAUGGUUCAAUAGUGAAAGACGGUUUCGGCUGUCACUUAUAGAUGGACCCGCGCCGUAUUAGCUAGUUGGUAAGGUAGCGGCUUACCAAGGCGAUGAUACGUAGCCGACCUGAGAGGGUGAUCGGCCACACUGGAACUGAGACACGGUCCAGACUCCUACGGGAGGCAGCAGUAGGGAAUCUUCCGCAAUGGGCGAAAGCCUGACGGAGCAACGCCGCGUGAGUGAUGAAGGUCUUCGGAUCGUAAAACUCUGUUGUUAGGGAAGAACAAAUUUGUUAGUAACUGAACAAGUCUUGACGGUACCUAACCAGAAAGCCACGGCUAACUACGUGCCAGCAGCCGCCGUAA